UGGGGAAUCUUCCGCAAUGGACGAAAGUCUGACGGAGCAACGCCGCGUGAGUGAUGAAGGCCUUCGGGUUGUAAAGCUCUGUUAAUCGGGACGAAAGAGCGUAGUGCGAAUAGGACUACGAAGUGACGGUACCGGAAUAGAAAGCCACGGCUAACUACGUGCCAGCAGCCGCGGUAAUACGUAGGUGGCAAGCGUUGUCCGGAAUUAUUGGGCGUAAAGCGCGCGCAGGCGGAACAGUAAGUCUGUCUUAAAAGUGCGGGGCUCAACCCCGUGAGGGGAUGGAAACUGCUGUUCUUGAGUAUCGGAGAGGAAAGUGGAAUUCCUAGUGUAGCGGUGAAAUGCGUAGAGAUUAGGAAGAACACCAGUGGCGAAGGCGACUUUCUGGACGAACACUGACGCU
Molecule: ribosomal RNA, 400 nt
Filed under: uncultured bacterium
Lineage: Bacteria
Description: bacterial SSU rRNA
Rfam family: Bacterial small subunit ribosomal RNA
Source: RNAcentral